RNAcentral lists this long non-coding RNA (875 nucleotides) under Mus musculus (house mouse). RNAcentral's name for it is "long non-coding RNA chr4:34353979-34354854". Lineage: Eukaryota; Metazoa; Chordata; Mammalia; Rodentia; Muridae. The record is from RNAcentral.
AGAGCUUCCAUUUCGCCAGCGCCACCUGAGGAUUUCCUGGAGCCGCCACCCCCACCUCCCGCGAUGGAAGACGAUCAGGAGCUGGAGAGGAAAGCCAUAGAGGAAUUGCUAAAGGAGGCAAAGCGUGGGAAAACCAGAGCGGAGACAAUGGGGCCGAUGGGCUGGAUGAAGUGUCCUCUUGCUGGUACAAAUAAAAGAUUCCUAAUUAACACAAUUAAGAACACACUGCCCUCCCAUAAAGAGCAAGACCAUGAACAAAAAGAGGGCAGUAAGGAGCCUGGCAAAAGCCAAGACCAGAAGGAAGCAAGUGGGAAGAAGUACCGAAGUCACUCGUACAAGCGCAGCCUUCACUCGUCCCGGGGCUCCGCAGGCUGCUCUCCUCCACGGAAGCGGACCUCCCGGACCUCCCGGGACAAGUGCGACCCACGGCCCAGCAGGCGAUGAGACAGCCGCAGGGCUAGCCCAGCCCAGCACUGCACCUGCCACUGGGCGCAGCAAAGAAGACAGGGAGGUGGCCGGCUGGCACCUGAGAGUGACUUUCUCAGUGGGUCCUUUGUUUUAAGGAGGCUGUUGGUACUGUGUGGUUGUUCUUGUUGCUGUUGUUGUUGUUGUUAACGGGAGAAGAAAACUUUACUAAAACAAAUCUUAACUACCUUAUCCUGAAGGUGUCGCGGUGAGAGCAAGCUGACUCGGCAUGGCCCCCGCAUAUCCGUGGUGUCUUUAUCCUACCUUACUUGGAAGUUCGUUUCAAAACAGGCAGUUUUAGAAUUUGAGAUUUUGAGAAAGUUUAAAAACUCCUAGUUUUUUGAUGUACUGCUCUUUUGUGGUCAUUUCCCAGAAUUUCUCAAAAAAAUCAAUAAAAUACUUAGAAACGC